Molecule: ribosomal RNA, 303 nt
Filed under: Triticum aestivum (bread wheat)
Lineage: Eukaryota; Viridiplantae; Streptophyta; Magnoliopsida; Poales; Poaceae
Description: partial small subunit ribosomal RNA
Source: RNAcentral
AUGGCGCAGAGAUCGGGUUCGGCUGCGGAGGGAAGCAAGGGUGGCAACCUUGAUAAGCUGAUGCAGGAGCUCGCCCUGAGGGAGGAUGACCUUGAUGAUGUCGUCUUUGAGGAAGACGACGCACCACCGGAAGAGAACCUCCGGUGGAUGAUCUUGGCCCAUGUCCAUAUGGACAAGUCUUUCAACACAUAUUGGUUCUUUCGUAACAUGAAGUCAGCCUGGGAUCUAGCAAGGGGAGUCAAGAUCAAAACCCUAGAAGACAAUCUGUUUAUCAUGCAAUUCAAUUGUCUAGGGGACUGGGAG